This 669-nucleotide ribosomal RNA is filed under the name Alexandrium tamarense. RNAcentral's name for it is "eukaryotic LSU rRNA". It matches the Rfam family "Eukaryotic large subunit ribosomal RNA", at positions 43 to 651 of the family's 3401-position model. The record is from RNAcentral. Lineage: Eukaryota; Dinophyceae; Gonyaulacales; Pyrocystaceae.
UAAGUAAGUGGUGGAAAUUAAACCAAAUGGGAUAUCUUUAGUAAUUGCGAAUGAACAAGGAUAUGCUUAGCUUGACAAAUGGAGCUAUUGGCUUUGAAUUGUAUUGUGGAAAUGUAUUACCAACAGAGGUGCAGGUGCCAGCCUAUUGAAAUAAAGCGUCAAUGAGGGUGAGAAUCCUGUUUGUCAUGUGCAGCCCUUUGUGCACGGUGUAUAUUUGCUGAGUCACACUCCUUGGCAUUGGAAUGCAAAGUGGGUGGUAAGUUUCAUGUAAAGGUAAACAUGCAAUUGAGACUGAUAGCACACAAGUACCAUGAGGGAAAUAUGAAAAGGACUUUGAAAAGAGAAUUAAAUGAGUUUGUAUUUGCUGAACACAAAGUAAACAGACUUGAUUUGCUUGGUGGGAGUGUUGCACUUGCUUGACAAGAGCUUUAGGCUGUGGGUGUAAUGAUUCUUUCUUUGCAUGCCAGUUUCUAUGUGUACAUCUGAUUACCUUUGCACAUGAAUGAUAAGUCUCCUGUGGGGGGGUGGAUUGCAUGUGCAUGUAAUGAUUUGUGUUUUGAUAAAUGUGUCUGGUGUAUGUGUGUGUGUUCCUGUGCUUGGGGAUGCUUCCUUCCUUGGACUUACAAGCCCUGACACACACAUGCUGGCAAAAUGCUUCUGCUUGACCCG